This 647-nucleotide ribosomal RNA is filed under the name uncultured bacterium. Its description in RNAcentral is "bacterial SSU rRNA". It matches the Rfam family "Bacterial small subunit ribosomal RNA", at positions 198 to 848 of the family's 1533-position model. The record is from RNAcentral.
GGGGGAAAGAUUUAUCGGGGAAGGAUUGGCCCGCGUUGGAUUAGCUAGUUGGUGGGGUAAAGGCCUACCAAGGCGACGAUCCAUAGCUGGUCUGAGAGGAUGACCCCCCACACUGGUACUGAGACACGGACCAGACUCCUACGGGAGGCAGCAGUAAGGAAUAUUGGUCAAUGGAGGCAACUCUGAACCAGCCAUGCCGCGUGCAGGAAGACUGCCCUAUGGGUUGUAAACUGCUUUUAUCUGGGAAUAAACCUAUUUACGUGUAGAUAGCUGAAUGUACCAGAAGAAUAAGGAUCGGCUAACUCCGUGCCAGCAGCCGCGGUAAUACGGAGGAUCCAAGCGUUAUCCGGAUUUAUUGGGUUUAAAGGGUGCGUAGGCGGCCUGUUAAGUCAGAGGUGAAAGACGGUAGCUCAACUAUCGCAGUGCCUUUGAUACUGAUGGGCUUGAAUGGACUAGAGGUAGGCGGAAUGAGACAAGUAGCGGUGAAAUGCAUAGAUAUGUCUCAGAACACCGAUUGCGAAGGCAGCUUACUAUGGUUUUAUUGACGCUGAGGCACGAAAGCGUGGGGAUCAAACAGGAUUAGAUACCCUGGUAGUCCACGCCCUAAACGAUGAACACUCGCUGUUGGCGAUACACAGUCAGCGGCU